GAUUUUCUACCGGGGUGUUAAAAUGUAUCGAAAGAUAUAUACUGAGAAAAACCCGCUGAACCUGAACUGGAUAAUGCCAGCGCAGGAAGAAAAGAAAUUUAUUGU
RNAcentral lists this non-coding RNA (105 nucleotides) under Niabella soli. RNAcentral's name for it is "TPP sequence". It matches the Rfam family "TPP riboswitch aptamer (THI element)". Rfam says of the family: Vitamin B(1) in its active form thiamin pyrophosphate (TPP) is an essential coenzyme that is synthesised by coupling of pyrimidine and thiazole moieties in bacteria. Lineage: Bacteria; Pseudomonadati; Bacteroidota; Chitinophagia; Chitinophagales; Chitinophagaceae. RNAcentral also lists the same sequence under 1 other name. The record is from RNAcentral.